This 1486-nucleotide ribosomal RNA is filed under the name Klebsiella pneumoniae. RNAcentral describes it as "bacterial SSU rRNA". It matches the Rfam family "Bacterial small subunit ribosomal RNA". The record is from RNAcentral. Lineage: Bacteria; Pseudomonadati; Pseudomonadota; Gammaproteobacteria; Enterobacterales; Enterobacteriaceae.
UGGCUCAGAUUGAACGCUGGCGGCAGGCCUAACACAUGCAAGUCGAGCGGUAGCACAGAGAGCUUGCUCUCGGGUGACGAGCGGCGGACGGGUGAGUAAUGUCUGGGAAACUGCCUGAUGGAGGGGGAUAACUACUGGAAACGGUAGCUAAUACCGCAUAACGUCGCAAGACCAAAGUGGGGGACCUUCGGGCCUCAUGCCAUCAGAUGUGCCCAGAUGGGAUUAGCUGGUAGGUGGGGUAACGGCUCACCUAGGCGACGAUCCCUAGCUGGUCUGAGAGGAUGACCAGCCACACUGGAACUGAGACACGGUCCAGACUCCUACGGGAGGCAGCAGUGGGGAAUAUUGCACAAUGGGCGCAAGCCUGAUGCAGCCAUGCCGCGUGUGUGAAGAAGGCCUUCGGGUUGUAAAGCACUUUCAGCGGGGAGGAAGGCGGUGAGGUUAAUAACCUCRYCGAUUGACGUUACCCGCAGAAGAAGCACCGGCUAACUCCGUGCCAGCAGCCGCGGUAAUACGGAGGGUGCAAGCGUUAAUCGGAAUUACUGGGCGUAAAGCGCACGCAGGCGGUCUGUCAAGUCGGAUGUGAAAUCCCCGGGCUCAACCUGGGAACUGCAUUCGAAACUGGCAGGCUAGAGUCUUGUAGAGGGGGGUAGAAUUCCAGGUGUAGCGGUGAAAUGCGUAGAGAUCUGGAGGAAUACCGGUGGCGAAGGCGGCCCCCUGGACAAAGACUGACGCUCAGGUGCGAAAGCGUGGGGAGCAAACAGGAUUAGAUACCCUGGUAGUCCACGCUGUAAACGAUGUCGAUUUGGAGGUUGUGCCCUUGAGGCGUGGCUUCCGGAGCUAACGCGUUAAAUCGACCGCCUGGGGAGUACGGCCGCAAGGUUAAAACUCAAAUGAAUUGACGGGGGCCCGCACAAGCGGUGGAGCAUGUGGUUUAAUUCGAUGCAACGCGAAGAACCUUACCUGGUCUUGACAUCCACAGAACUUAGCAGAGAUGCUUUGGUGCCUUCGGGAACUGUGAGACAGGUGCUGCAUGGCUGUCGUCAGCUCGUGUUGUGAAAUGUUGGGUUAAGUCCCGCAACGAGCGCAACCCUUAUCCUUUGUUGCCAGCGGUUAGGCCGGGAACUCAAAGGAGACUGCCAGUGAUAAACUGGAGGAAGGUGGGGAUGACGUCAAGUCAUCAUGGCCCUUACGACCAGGGCUACACACGUGCUACAAUGGCAUAUACAAAGAGAAGCGACCUCGCGAGAGCAAGCGGACCUCAUAAAGUAUGUCGUAGUCCGGAUUGGAGUCUGCAACUCGACUCCAUGAAGUCGGAAUCGCUAGUAAUCGUAGAUCAGAAUGCUACGGUGAAUACGUUCCCGGGCCUUGUACACACCGCCCGUCACACCAUGGGAGUGGGUUGCAAAAGAAGUAGGUAGCUUAACCUUCGGGAGGGCGCUUACCACUUUGUGAUUCAUGACUGGGGUGAAGUCGUAACAAGGUA